GCUCUCAUAGCUCAACUGGAUAGAGCGUCAGAUUGCGGUUCUGGAGGUUGCAGGUUCAAGUCCUGCUGAGAGCACCA
This 77-nucleotide transfer RNA is filed under the name Candidatus Komeilibacteria bacterium CG_4_9_14_0_8_um_filter_36_9. Its description in RNAcentral is "tRNA-Arg". It matches the Rfam family "tRNA". From Rfam's summary of the family: Transfer RNA (tRNA) molecules are approximately 80 nucleotides in length. Their secondary structure includes four short double-helical elements and three loops (D, anti-codon, and T loops). Further hydrogen bonds mediate the characteristic L-shaped molecular structure. tRNAs have two regions of fundamental functional importance: the anti-codon, which is responsible for specific mRNA codon recognition, and the 3' end, to which the tRNAs corresponding amino acid is attached (by aminoacyl-tRNA synthetases). tRNAs cope with the degeneracy of the genetic code in two manners: having more than one tRNA (with a specific anti-codon) for a particular amino acid; and 'wobble' base-pairing, i.e. permitting non-standard base-pairing at the 3rd anti-codon position. Lineage: Bacteria; Candidatus Komeiliibacteriota. The record is from RNAcentral. RNAcentral also lists the same sequence under 1 other name.